RNAcentral lists this ribosomal RNA (556 nucleotides) under uncultured bacterium. Its description in RNAcentral is "partial 16S ribosomal RNA". It matches the Rfam family "Bacterial small subunit ribosomal RNA", at positions 355 to 895 of the family's 1533-position model. The record is from RNAcentral.
UGGGGAAUAUUGCACAAUGGGCGCAAGCCUGAUGCAGCCAUGCCGCGUGUGUGAAGAAGGCCUUCGGGUUGUAAAGCACUUUCAGCGAGGAGGAAGGUGGUGAGCUUAAUACGCUCAUCAAUUGACGUUACUCGCAGAAGAAGCACCGGCUAACUCCGUGCCAGCAGCCGCGGUAAUACGGAGGGUGCAAGCGUUAAUCGGAAUUACUGGGCGUAAAGCGCACGCAGGCGGUUUGUUAAGUCAGAUGUGAAAUCCCCCGGGCUCAACCUGGGAACUGCAUUUGAAACUGGCAAGCUAGAGUCUCNUAGAGGGGGGUAGAAUUCCAGGUGUAGCGGUGAAAUGCGUAGAGAUCUGGAGGAAUACCGGUGGCGAAGGCGGCCCCCUGGACGAAGACUGACGCUCAGGUGCGAAAGCGUGGGGCAGCAAACAGGAUUAGAUACCCUGGUAGUCCACGCUGUAAACGAUGUCGAUUUUGGAGGUUGUGCCCUUGAGGCGUGGCUUCCGGAGCUAACGCGUUUAAAAUCGACCCGCCCUGGGGGAGUACGGCCGCAAGGUU